UCAGAAAGUAGUUUAAUAUAAGUUAGUUUUGGGAGUUAGCGAUUGGGAGUAUCUCCUUUCUGAU
This 64-nucleotide transfer RNA is filed under the name Pandalus hypsinotus. RNAcentral's name for it is "tRNA-Pro". The record is from RNAcentral. Lineage: Eukaryota; Metazoa; Arthropoda; Malacostraca; Decapoda; Pandalidae.